GCCGGAGUGGUGGAAUAGGUAGACACCCAGGUUUUAGGUACCUGUGCCGCAAGGCGUGAGAGUUCGAGUCUCUUCUCCGGCA
This 82-nucleotide transfer RNA is filed under the name Propionibacteriaceae bacterium. RNAcentral describes it as "tRNA-Leu". It matches the Rfam family "tRNA". Rfam says of the family: Transfer RNA (tRNA) molecules are approximately 80 nucleotides in length. Lineage: Bacteria; Bacillati; Actinomycetota; Actinomycetes; Propionibacteriales; Propionibacteriaceae. The record is from RNAcentral.